Molecule: ribosomal RNA, 253 nt
Filed under: uncultured bacterium
Lineage: Bacteria
Description: partial 16S ribosomal RNA
Rfam family: Bacterial small subunit ribosomal RNA
Source: RNAcentral
UACGUAGGUGGCAAGCGUUGUCCGGAUUUACUGGGCGUAAAGAGCGCGCAGGCGGUCGUUCAAGUCGAGUGUGAAAGCCCCCGGCUCAACUGGGGAGGGUCACUUGAUACUGGUCGACUCGAAGGCAGGAGAGGGAAGUGGAAUUCCCGGUGUAGUGGUGAAAUGCGUAGAUAUCGGGAGGAACACCAGUGGCGAAGGCGACUUCCUGGCCUGUUCUUGACGCUGAGGCGCGAAAGCUAGGGGAGCAAACGGG